Molecule: ribosomal RNA, 346 nt
Filed under: uncultured bacterium
Lineage: Bacteria
Description: partial 16S ribosomal RNA
Rfam family: Bacterial small subunit ribosomal RNA
Source: RNAcentral
CCUACGGGCGGCUGCAGUGAGGAAUAUUGGUCAAUGGACGAGAGUCUGAACCAGCCAAGUAGCGUGAAGGAUGACUGCCCUACGGGUUGUAAACUUCUUUUAUAAGGGAAUAAAAUGAGGCACGUGUGGGAUUUUGUAUGUACCAUAUGAAUAAGGAUCGGCUAACUCCGUGCCAGCAGCCGCGGUAAUACGGAGGAUCCGAGCGUUAUCCGGAUUUAUUUGGUUUAAAGGGAGCGUAGGUGGUUUGUUAAGUCAGUUGUGAAAGUUUGCGGCUCAACCGUAAAAUUGCAGUUGAAACUGGCAGUCUUGAGUACAGUUGCGGUCGGCGGCAUUCGUGGUGUAGCGG